RNAcentral lists this ribosomal RNA (253 nucleotides) under uncultured bacterium. Its description in RNAcentral is "partial 16S ribosomal RNA". It matches the Rfam family "Bacterial small subunit ribosomal RNA", at positions 524 to 776 of the family's 1533-position model. The record is from RNAcentral.
UACAGAGGUGGCAAGCGUUGUUCGGAAUUACUGGGCGUAAAGGGCGCGUAGGCGGCCUUCUAAGUCAGACGUGAAAUCCCCCGGCUUAACCUGGGAACUGCGUCUGAUACUGGGAGGCUUGAGUAUGGGAGAGGGAUGUAGAAUUCCAGGUGUAGCGGUGAAAUGCGUAGAUAUCGGAAGGAACAUCAGUGGCGAAAGCGGCUUCCUGGACCAGUACCGACGUUCAGGCACGAAAGCGUGGGGAGCAAACAGG